CGAAAUGACUUUUUUUUUCUUCUUUUAUUAUGAUUGGGGUUCGUUGAGCGCUGCUGAAGGAAAAAACAACCACUAUAAAUAAUUUUCUCCUUUACCUCACAUAUAUGGUGAAAAUGUUCUUAAAAAAAGUAGCAAAGAAUAAACUGAAAAUAAAGAAAAGCAGAUAGCAUGGAACUCUAUGAUAGAAAAGUCAUGAACAUGAUAUGAAAAGGAAAAAAAAUGUUUCACCACCUCAUAAUUGAGCUUAAAACAUCAAAAAUAUAAAUAAUAUAUGGUUCAAGAAAAAUAUAGGAAUGCAACGUUACCAGUAGAAGAGAAAGAAGAUAAGUAACCAACUUUGAGAACUUGUGCCAAACUUCCACAACUGCAGCUUCCUCUAUGCAAAUGUUUUGUUGGAAUUUCCUAUUAAAAUUAAUAGUGGCAUUUCAAGAUUGUCUGUCUGAUACAAAUUAAAAAGAUGGAUCCUUUAUAAGUUUCAACUAUUUAAGUUCUCUCAGAAAAUACCAAAUGUGGAGAAAAACUCAAAACAAAUCAUUGGUUUUUCCUCUUUCUCCCCAAACAAUGUUAAUCAAAGGCCAGCAAACAGUCCUAAAAGAGGACCUCUUUUUUCCUUUAACAAUAAAGAACAAGGUAAAAAUGAAACAAAAAAAAGAGUAUACUAGGACUAGUAGUGUACUAUAUCAACCCCACAACCACCCUCAAAAACUACAAAGAAAAAAAAAAGAGAGUAAAAAGACAAUGCAAAAAGUAAGAUGUUUUGCUUGCAUGAGGAAGAAAAGCAAGAUUUUUACUCAGAACUCAACACCCAAGAAAAGCUCAGAAAAUUCAGAAUCC
RNAcentral lists this long non-coding RNA (834 nucleotides) under Nicotiana tabacum (common tobacco). Its description in RNAcentral is "long non-coding RNA (NTAB_LNC002387)". The record is from RNAcentral. Lineage: Eukaryota; Viridiplantae; Streptophyta; Magnoliopsida; Solanales; Solanaceae.